This 359-nucleotide ribosomal RNA is filed under the name Neisseria sicca. RNAcentral's name for it is "bacterial SSU rRNA". It matches the Rfam family "Bacterial small subunit ribosomal RNA", at positions 30 to 382 of the family's 1533-position model. The record is from RNAcentral. Lineage: Bacteria; Pseudomonadati; Pseudomonadota; Betaproteobacteria; Neisseriales; Neisseriaceae.
AUUGAUCGCUGGCGGCAUGCUUUACACAUGCAAGUCGGACGGCAGCACAGAGAAGCUUGCUUCUUGGGUGGCGAGUGGCGAACGGGUGAGUAACAUAUCGGAACGUACCGGGCAGUGGGGGGAUAACUAAUCGAAAGAUUAGCUAAUACCGCAUAUCUUCUGAGGAAGAAAGCAGGGGACCAUUUGGCCUUGCGCUGUUUGAGCGGCCGAUAUCUGAUUAGCUAGUUGGUGGGGUAAAGGCCUACCAAGGCGACGAUCAGUAGCGGGUUGAGAGGAUGAUCCGCCACACUGGGACUGAGACACGGCCCAGACUCCUACGGGAGGCAGCAGUGGGAAAUUUGGACAAAUGGGCGCAAAGC